AAGUCGUAACAAGGUUUCCGUAGGUGAACCUGCGGAAGGAUCAUUAACACGUAUCCAACGUUAAACCCCCCUGUGAACUUUAAGCGCAGCUCUUGCAGCCUCUAUAGGAACAGCAAUCCUGGUAAAUCAGCCCGAGAAAAGCUUUGAUUCAGGACCUCUGUCUAAAAGGAUGCAAUCGAGCGCUGGAGUAAGUGGCUUGGUUUCCCCAAGCAGUUAGCAUUCUGACAGUGUUGCUAAUUGUGUAAGAAUAGGCCGAACACCGGCCGGCGACUCGGCCACCGGGCUCACGCCCCCUAGAGAAAACCGAACAACUGUUAACAAUGGAUAUCUUGGUUCUC
RNAcentral lists this unclassified non-coding RNA (338 nucleotides) under fungal sp. RNAcentral describes it as "partial internal transcribed spacer region". The stretch from base 1 to 46 matches the Rfam family "Eukaryotic small subunit ribosomal RNA", at positions 1786 to 1831 of the family's 1831-position model. The record is from RNAcentral. Lineage: Eukaryota; Fungi.